AGCGAACGCUGGCGGCAGGCCUAACACAUGCAAGUCGAGCGCCCCGCAAGGGGAGCGGCAGACGGGAGAGUAACACGUGGGAACGUACCCUUCAGUUCGGAACAACCCAGGGAAACUUGGGCUAAUACCGGAUACGUCCGUAAGGAGAAAGAUUUAUCGCUGAAGGAUCGGCCCGCGUCUGAUUAGCUAGUUGGUGAGGUAACGGCUCACCAAGGCGACGAUCAGUAGCUGGGCUGAGAGGAUGAUCAGCCUCACUGGGACUGAGACACGGCCCAGACUCCUACGGGAGGCAGCAGUGGGGAAUAUUGGACAAUGGGCGCAAGCCUGAUCCAGCCAUGCCGCGUGGAUGAUGAAGGCCCUAGGGUUGUAAAGUCCUUUCGGCGGGGAAGAUAAUGACGGUACCCGCAGAAGAAGCCCCGGCUAACUUCGUGCCAGCAGCCGCCGUAA
RNAcentral lists this ribosomal RNA (447 nucleotides) under uncultured bacterium. Its description in RNAcentral is "partial 16S ribosomal RNA". It matches the Rfam family "Bacterial small subunit ribosomal RNA", at positions 29 to 523 of the family's 1533-position model. The record is from RNAcentral.